AGCAGCCGCGGUAAUUCCAGCUCCAAUAGCGUAUAUUAAAGUUGUUGCAGUUAAAAAGCUCGUAGUUGAAUUUCGGGGUUAGUAGAUUGGUCGUGCCACUGGUACGUACUGGUCUUACUGAUUCCUCCCUCCUGAUGAACUGUAAUGCCAUUAAUUUGGUGUUGCAGGGAAUCUGGACUGUUACUUUGAAAAAAUUAGAGUGUUUAAAGCAGGCUAACGCUUGAAUACAUUAGCAUGGAAUAAUGAAAUAGGACGCUCGAUCCUAUUUUGUUGGUUUCUAGGAUUGACGUAAUGAUUAAUAGGGAUAGUUGGGGGCAUUAGUAUUCAAUUGUCAGAGGUGAAAUUCUUGGAUUUAUUGAAGACUAACUACUGCGAAAGCAUUUGCCAAGGAUGUUUUCAUUAAUCAAGAACGAAAGUUAGGGGAUCGAAGACGAUCAGAUACCGUCGUAGUCUUAACCAUAAACUAUGCCGACUAGGGAUCGGAUGAUGUUAAUUUUUUAAUGACUCAUUCGGCGCCUUACG
RNAcentral lists this ribosomal RNA (522 nucleotides) under uncultured Glomeraceae. Its description in RNAcentral is "SSU rRNA". It matches the Rfam family "Eukaryotic small subunit ribosomal RNA", at positions 569 to 1092 of the family's 1831-position model. Lineage: Eukaryota; Fungi; Glomeromycota; Glomeromycetes; Glomerales; Glomeraceae. The record is from RNAcentral.